AAUUACUUUUGGGGCUGAUGCCAAAACUGGGUGACUCUGAAGUCCAAACAACAACACCCAAUUAAACAGAGUCAUAGUACUUUUUCUGCUAUUUGUGCAAGUGUCAGUUACAUUCAGUGCCUCUGGGCAGGCCCGGGGAACCUCUGGAGAUUAGAUAGAUUCCAAUGCCUAAAUUAUCUCAACACUGCACAGAUGAAAUCAACAUGCUUUUGAUUGCAUUGGGAUGAACAUUUGCCGAUCCUGGAGAAGCUGAGGCAGUGUUGUUCAGGCGAAGGGCAAUAAAACUGCUGGAGUAGAUGACUUGUGCCUGGAACUCACAAACCUGGUCUCCCCUUCAAUAUCUCAGCGAUACAGAGCAGUGUGUGGGCCCUUCUCUGAUCAAGAAAGCUAGUGACAGGCUGCUCAAAGCAAUGAUCUCCAAGCAGUAUUGGUUGCCCCAUUGUGCCAUCUGACAGCUGGAUCAGCAGGGUCAGUGGCCUAAAGAGCAGCAGAGCCAGGUGGAUGCCAGGAACCUACGACUGAUGGAAAGGAAAGGUAUGGAGGACAGUAGG
Manis pentadactyla (Chinese pangolin) is the source of this 551-nucleotide long non-coding RNA. RefSeq lists it as uncharacterized. The transcript has 4 exons. NCBI's taxonomy places the organism in Eukaryota, Metazoa, Chordata, Mammalia, Pholidota, Manidae. The record is from RefSeq and is a predicted model, not a curated record.